UUUCCUUAUUGUAGGGCAGAAUAAAAGGCACCAGAGAGCUGAGGGAAGAUGCGAUUCAGUUCUUCCCUUUUUAUUAAAAAAACUGCUGCCAGAAAGAGGAAAGAGUAGUUGGUUAAAUCUGUCAGUUUUGAGUUCUCGUGAUUAUUUUCAUUGAAAGUUAGUGAUGAUGGGACUUCAAAAUUGAUUGUUUGUCCCGCUCAUAGCAGCAACCCAUUUUGGUGUUUCCUCUCAGUUUCCCAGGGUUUACCACCAGGGAAAAUUGCUUGUCUUCCCAUUUAAGCAACUCAAUCCCAGCUGGUGUCCCUGGGAGCCCAAGGGAAGGCGCUGAAGAGAGAAAUCUUCCUGCCAGCUUCCUCCAGGAAUGUUUCCCCUGGCGUGAUGUGGGCGCUGGGAAGCGUCUGUUUGGCUCCCUGCUCCCAGGGGACAGGCAUUACUUCCGUUGAGUGUCAGAUAAUUGUCAAGUCCUCACCAAGGAUGAUACUGCUGCUGCUGUGAAACCGUCAAAGAGUGUCCUGGGUCUACUUUCUUUUUGGAACCCUCCACCCCAUUAUUUCUGGUCUCACACGUGGAAUGGAUGCAGGGAGGGUAACAUCAGCCUUCUGAGUUCACAGACCUUAUCACCAGGUGUAGAUGGAGCACAGUCAGAUGCCCUGUCCUGCUUCCCUCACGCUGCGCCUGCGCCCCAGGAGGAGCAUUGAGCCCUGGGACAAAUAUGUCAUCUCCUGGUGGAGUAUCAGCUUUGCUAAGAGUUGGUGUGAACAUUGACGGUGCUGAGCUUGAUGUCUGGCACAUAACGAACACACAAACAUCAGCUAUGAUGCUGCUCAUGAGGAUCCGCUCAGAGCCUGGGAGGUGUCUCUCCUUCUGCUACGUGCUCUGGAAACUAACAACAAACCUGCGGUCCUGAGACUUUCCUGAGGAAUUGCCUUGAAGAGAGAGUUCACUGUGACUCUGAUGUAAACCCUUCCAGAGACCGUUUGCUUCAUUUUUGUUCCUUUUGCAGAACUUAAUUUUUUAAAAGAAAGUUUAAAAACAAGAUUGUAAACUUUUAUGGGUUGAAUUGUGUCCCCCCAAAAUAUAUGUUGAAGUCCUCACCC
RNAcentral lists this long non-coding RNA (1097 nucleotides) under Equus asinus (donkey). RNAcentral's name for it is "lncRNA (ENSEASG00005025662.1)". Lineage: Eukaryota; Metazoa; Chordata; Mammalia; Perissodactyla; Equidae. The record is from RNAcentral.